Ooceraea biroi (clonal raider ant) is the source of this 953-nucleotide long non-coding RNA. RefSeq lists it as uncharacterized. NCBI's taxonomy places the organism in Eukaryota, Metazoa, Arthropoda, Insecta, Hymenoptera, Formicidae. The record is from RefSeq and is a predicted model, not a curated record.
CUAACUUCACGUGCGUAAAUAUAAUAAUAAUAAUUCGCGGGUUGUACGCGAUGCAAAAAUAAAAUAGGAAGUAAAUGCGACAUUUAUCUAGAAAUUUGUUAUUAUAAUUAUCUAUAAUGAAAUGUAAGUAUAUAAAAAUUGUAAUUCAUUAUUCGCAUAUACUCAAAGACUUAUGAGAGAGAGAAAAAUAUUCGAUAUCAAAAUAUAGAAAGGACUGAAUUGAAAUGCCGUGUCGAAAUCUCGUUUGUUACGAGAAAACAAUUGCUUUGGAAUUACUCCAAAUUGUAGGUUGACGUGUCUAUGACCUCGAUGAGAAAAAUGUCAUUCUGUCACUUGACGUGUACUGUACGCCUAACACGGAGCUAUAAAUUUACAUGCGCAGUUUGUUGAAUUUUCAUUUUCCUAAAGAAAAAUUAUUUUGAAAAAACAUUUCGCAUGGCGACGAGAACGUGAUUAUUUAUCUUCCUGUCCUGAGAAUUCAAAGAAGGUUUACGCAGAUUAGAUUUGCUCGCAGGAUGCCGACGAAUCUCCGUGAAUCUUCGAAUGUCCGGUAACCGUAUUACUUGGAUCGAUAAGCUACUUGCGGUCGAUUUAUCAACAGAAGACAGCAGUAAUAAGUAGCAAGAAAGAUCGACGUAUCUGCGAAUAUAUAUCAAUAAACAGUGGCUCGUACGAUAAUCACUUUGCAGUGAUGUAACUAACGUUCCAGUCUUUUUCUCGUGGAAAAAAAUGAGAUGAUGACACUUUUUAGAUUUUUAUUAUUUUAUCUCUCCUACCUUGCAAAAAUCUGCAAAACUUUGUAAUAAUCGCAAUAUAAUAUAUCAAAGCUAUUGUCUCACAAUAACAAACUGUACAUAUAUAUCAAGAAAAUAAGAUAAGAAUUGUGUAAGACUGUAAUUGUGUAAUAUUAGGCAUUAAUUUAUAAAUUAAUAGAACUUUAUUUAUAAAACAAU